UACAGAGGUCCCAAGCGUUGUUCGGAUUCACUGGGCGUAAAGGGUGCGUAGGUGGUGAGGUAAGUUCGAUGUGAAAUCUCCGGGCUCAACCCGGAAAUGGCAUUGAAUACUAUCUCGCUUGAGAGUCGGAGGGGGGACUGGAAUACUUGGUGUAGCAGUGAAAUGCGUAGAUAUCAAGUGGAACACCAGUGGCGAAGGCGAGUCCCUGGACGACUUCUGACACUGAGGCACGAAAGCUAGGGGAGCAAACAGG
Molecule: ribosomal RNA, 253 nt
Filed under: uncultured bacterium
Lineage: Bacteria
Description: partial 16S ribosomal RNA
Rfam family: Bacterial small subunit ribosomal RNA
Source: RNAcentral